RNAcentral lists this transfer RNA (82 nucleotides) under Leptonema illini. Its description in RNAcentral is "tRNA-Leu". It matches the Rfam family "tRNA". Rfam says of the family: Transfer RNA (tRNA) molecules are approximately 80 nucleotides in length. Lineage: Bacteria; Pseudomonadati; Spirochaetota; Leptospiria; Leptospirales; Leptospiraceae. The record is from RNAcentral. RNAcentral also lists the same sequence under 2 other names.
GCUCAGGUGGUGGAAUGGUAGACACGCUACUUUGAGGUGGUAGUGCCUUCGUGGUGUGGGGGUUCAAGUCCCCCCCUGAGCA